RNAcentral lists this small RNA (30 nucleotides) under Arabidopsis thaliana (thale cress). RNAcentral describes it as "ATSL133230". Lineage: Eukaryota; Viridiplantae; Streptophyta; Magnoliopsida; Brassicales; Brassicaceae. The record is from RNAcentral.
UUCUUUCAGCAUCUUUUUUGUUUGUUUUUG